GAUACCCUGGUAGUCCCAGCCGUAAACGAUGGACACUAGUUGCCGGAGGAGUCAAUCCCUUCGGUGACGAAGCUCACGCAUUAAGUGUCCCGCCUGGGGAGUACGCUCGCAAGGGUGAAACUCAAAGGAAUUGACGGGGGCCCGCACAAGCGGUGGAGCAUGUGCUCCAAUUCGAUGCAACGCGAAGAACCUUACCUGGGUCUGACAUGGGGGUGAAAGUUUCCAGAGAUGGAAGCCUUUCCUUCGGGAACACCCCACACAGGUGCUGCAUGGUCGUCGUCGGCUCGUGUCGUGAGAUGUUGGGUUAAGUCCCGCAACGAGCGCAACCCCUGCCCUUAGUUGCCAUCAGGUAAAGCUGGGAACUCUAAGGGGACAGCUUGGUAUAACCAGGAGGAAGGUGGGGAUGACGUCAAAUCAUCAUGGCUCUUACGCCCAGGGCUAGACACGUGCUACAAUGGCAGGUACAGUGGGAUGCCAGCCUGCGAAGGUGAGCUAAUCCCUUAAAACCUGUCUCAGUCCGGAUUGGAGUCUGCAACUCGACUCCAUGAAGUUGGAAUCGCUAGUAAUCGCGGAUCAGCACGCCGCGGUGAUACGUUCCCGGGCCUGUACACACCGCCCGUCAAGCCAUGAAAGGCGGUAGUACCCGAAGUCGCGUACCCAACCGUAAGGAGGGAAGCGCCGAA
RNAcentral lists this ribosomal RNA (683 nucleotides) under uncultured organism. RNAcentral's name for it is "bacterial SSU rRNA". It matches the Rfam family "Bacterial small subunit ribosomal RNA", at positions 781 to 1460 of the family's 1533-position model. The record is from RNAcentral.